GACGAACGCUGGCGGCGUGCCUAAUACAUGCAAGUUGAGCGCUGAAGGUUGGUACUUGUACCAACUGGAUGAGCAGCGAACGGGUGAGUAACGCGUGGGGAAUCUGCCUUUGAGCGGGGGACAACAUUUGGAAACGAAUGCUAAUACCGCAUAAAAACUUUAAACACAAGUUUUAAGUUUGAAAGAUGCAAUUGCAUCACUCAAAGAUGAUCCCGCGUUGUAUUAGCUAGUUGGUGAGGUAAAGGCUCACCAAGGCGAUGAUACAUAGCCGACCUGAGAGGGUGAUCGGCCACAUUGGGACUGAGACACGGCCCAAACUCCUACGGGAGGCAGCAGUAGGGAAUCUUCGGCAAUGGACGAAAGUCUGACCGAGCAACGCCGCGUGAGUGAAGAAGGUUGUCGGAUCGUAAAACUCUGUUGGUAGAGAAGAACGUUGGUGAGAGUGGAAAGCUCAUCAAGUGACGGUAACUACCCAGAAAGGGACGGCUAACUACGU
This 496-nucleotide ribosomal RNA is filed under the name uncultured bacterium. RNAcentral's name for it is "partial 16S ribosomal RNA". It matches the Rfam family "Bacterial small subunit ribosomal RNA", at positions 28 to 506 of the family's 1533-position model. The record is from RNAcentral.